This 463-nucleotide ribosomal RNA is filed under the name Bos taurus (domestic cattle). RNAcentral describes it as "similar to 12S ribosomal RNA". Lineage: Eukaryota; Metazoa; Chordata; Mammalia; Artiodactyla; Bovidae. The record is from RNAcentral.
CUUCCUGUUCAACUCUUAAUAAACUUACACAUGCANGCAUCUACACCCCAGUGAGAAUGCCCUCUAGGUUAUUAAAACUAAGAGGAGCUGGCAUCAAGCACACACCCUGUAGCUCACGACGCCUGCUUAACCACACCCCCACGGGAAACAGCAGUGACAAAAAUUAAGCCAUAAACGAAAGUUUGACUAAGUUAUAUUAAUUAGGGUUGGUAAAUCUCGUGCCAGCCACCGCGGUCAUACGAUUAACCCAAGCUAACAGGAGUACGGCGUAAAACGUGUUAAAGCACCAUACCAAAUAGGGUUAAAUUCUAACUAAGCUGUAAAAAGCCAUGAUUAAAAUAAAAAUAAAUGACGAAAGUGACCCUACAAUAGCCGACGCACUAUAGCUAAGACCCAAACUGGGAUUAGAUACCCCACUAUGCUUAGCCCUAAACACAGAUAAUUACAUAAACAAAAUUAUUCG